RNAcentral lists this ribosomal RNA (494 nucleotides) under uncultured bacterium. RNAcentral's name for it is "partial 16S ribosomal RNA". It matches the Rfam family "Bacterial small subunit ribosomal RNA", at positions 29 to 505 of the family's 1533-position model. The record is from RNAcentral.
AUGCACGCUGGCGGCGUGCCUAAUACAUGCCAGUCGCGCGAACAGACGAGGAGCUUGCUCCUCUGACGUUAGCGGCGGACGGGUGAGUAACACGUGGAUAACCUACCUAUAAGACUGGGAUAACUUCGGGAAACCGGAGCUAAUACCGGAUAAUAUAUUGAACCGCAUGGUUCAAUAGUGAAAGACGGUUUUGCUGUCACUUAUAGAUGGAUCCGCGCCGCAUUAGCUAGUUGGUAAGGUAACGGCUUACCAAGGCAACGAUGCGUAGCCGACCUGAGAGGGUGAUCGGCCACACUGGAACUGAGACACGGUCCAGACUCCUACGGGAGGCAGCAGUAGGGAAUCUUCCGCAAUGGGCGAAAGCCUGACGGAGCAACGCCGCGUGAGUGAUGAAGGUCUUCGGAUCGUAAAACUCUGUUAUUAGGGAAGAACAAAUGUGUAAGUAACUAUGCACGUCUUGACGGGACCUAAUCAGAAAGCCACGGCUAACUACG